Bombus terrestris (buff-tailed bumblebee) is the source of this 410-nucleotide long non-coding RNA. RefSeq lists it as uncharacterized. The record is from RefSeq and is a predicted model, not a curated record. The transcript has 2 exons. NCBI's taxonomy places the organism in Eukaryota, Metazoa, Arthropoda, Insecta, Hymenoptera, Apidae.
GAUAAUUAUUAUUUUAGAUCGCUCCAAACUAUGAAAUUAAUUGACCAUAUGUAUAUAUUUUAAUCAUUCUGCGUAUUGCUAUGCAUCACCGAUUUUGGAUAUGCUGUAUACACAAAUAGAUACUUCUGGAUGCUCUAAAUAAUCAUUUACCUGGGAGAACAAUGAACAGAUACAGUAACAAAGUAUUUAUGAGCAAAUAAUAAAAAUUACCUUCAUCCAUCUGCAAUCAGAAAUUUCUUUUUCACAUUUUUUAAUAUUGAUAUCAAUAGGUGAUAAAUAGGCAAUCAUGUAUAUGUCAGAACAACCAAAGGCGUAACCAUGAACGUGUCUGAAACCUAUUAUACACCUAAAGGUAGUUUGAACACCAGUCUCUUCUAAAACUUCUCUUUUUACAGCUUCUUCUAAAUCUU